Molecule: long non-coding RNA, 6324 nt
Organism: Orcinus orca (killer whale)
Lineage: Eukaryota; Metazoa; Chordata; Mammalia; Artiodactyla; Delphinidae
Exons: 3
Source: RefSeq, a predicted model, not a curated record
UCAGAUUUUACUACAGUGCAAGGAGGUUAGUGAUCCUAUGCAGCCUUUCAGAAACCUCAGACCUGGAGCACUGAGCCACCACCAGCAGCCAAGAAGAGUCAAAGAACCAAAGAUUUUAUCUCACCUGCGGUGAUUGAAUCAAUCUGUCUCCUUGAAGGACAAGACCAAUUUGAUUGGCUGGCAGUGUUGACUAAGAGGCGAGCCUUCAAGCAUAAAAGCUGAGAAUAAUGGGAAACAUGACAGAUCUAAGGGAAAGAAAAAAGAAAAGGCGAGAGAAGGAAGAGAGUGGUGUGAUUAGAGGCAGUAAUGGGGGCAGGGAGCAUCAGAUCCUCUGACUCCUUGGACCAGUGACAGGGAUGAAAGCAAAGCAGAGGAAAAACAGCAGCCAGCUGAAUAGUGGUGACAUAAAGGAUUGAAAAAAACAUUUUUAAGCCCUUAUGAAAUCAUGGAUUUUAUGCUAGGGCAGCAGCAGUUGGAAUGCAAGGCAGUUUCCAUUAGCGUGACCAUUUUGUCUUGGCUCAUUAGAUAAGAGGGAAAAAAGAAAGUCUUUGACCACAUGGAAAGGGAAACUGACCAGAUGGACAGUUUUCUCAAAGGAACGUUGCUUAGAAAUUAUUUUUUCUUGCUCCAAAUCUGGGGACAAGUUAAACAGCCUAAUUUCACCUGAUGAAAACAGAGACUAGAUCAUUAAAGCCCUGGUGUCAGUAGAAACAGAGCUGUGAGACUGAGCAGACCAGAGAGAGUAUGUUACUAAACCAAGCCUCCUGACUGUGGGGUCACACACCUAUGGCUCUUGCUUAGACGGGCAAAGAUGGCUUCAGGUAUAACGGGAAAGUCCAGUGACCUCGCAGCCUUAGUAAUGCUAAGGUAACCACGAUUACUGUUUCUCGAGCACUUACUGUGUGCCAGGUCCUGUGGAAAAUAUGCUCUGUGUUUUCUCAUUUAAUACUUGUGCUGCUAGUCUCUGUUUGGCCCCUCAACCCCUUCUCUAAGCCAUCUCUGCCCUGCCCUGUGUGCCUGGAAGCUCCUCCAGGCUGCACCUCCCAGGCUUGCUCGUCUUCUUUUUUUUUGGCUGCGUUGGGUCUUUGUUGCUGUGCGCGGGCUUUCUCUAGUUGCAGCGAGCCAGGGCUACUCUUUGUUGCAUUGCAUGGGCUUCUCAUUGCAGUGGCUUCUCUUGUUGCAGCACGCAGUUCCUAGAACACGCGGGCUUCAGUAGUUGUGGUGCACGGGCUCAGUAGUUGUGGCUCGCGGGCUCUAGAGUGCAGGCACAGUAGUUGUGGCACACGAGCUUAGUUGCUCUGCAGCAUGUGGGAUCUUCCUGGACCAGGGAUCGAACCUGUGUCCCCUGCAUUGGCAGAAAGAUUCUUAACCACUGCGCCACCAGGGAAGUCCCUCGCUUGUCUUCUGAUUAUCAUUUCCAUUCAACCAGUGGGUAGCACCAGCAGGUGAUUGGAGGGUGGGAUGAGAGAGAUGCUGGGAUAGUUCUUCCUAGCUCUCUCCAUGUUUCAAGUGACAUCUCCAGCCUUAGCUGUGUCCCUCCACACUAUAGCCCCUUAGGGCUGCACCUCUUCCACACUUCCGGUUCUCAGUGGGCUCAGGUCACGCUAUUCCUCCCUUUGUCCUUUCAGCCUUAGGGAUGGUAAAGACUUCCUACUACUGCUCGUCUCUGGGUGCCUCAACAACCCUGUCUGUUCCCUCGUCCUUGCUCACACCUCUGUGAGUAAUCCGUUCAUUUGAACAAUGUAAGGUGAAAUCAGUUUCCUACCAGGACCUGACCAAUACAAUCCUUAAAACAAACUGAAGUAUGAUUUCCCCUAUUUUACCUAGUGCAAAGAGGCACGGUAGCUUGUCCAGCAUCACACACCAAACAAAGCCAUACCUGUAUAUUCCAAAGCCUGCAUGUUUAAUCACAUCACAUUGCCCAGCCUCUCCGUGUAACCAGAAUGAUCCCUUUGGAAUUGAGAAGACCCGAGGACUGUCAAGUGGCCAAUAGACAAGUGAGCCCUUGCAAAGCUGAGAUAACGAUCCUCAGAAGAAGCAGCAAAGACUGAUGUAGGCCAGCAGUUAGUCUAGCACGUAGGGAAUGGAGCCACCCACAGAGUGUGCCAAGUGAGGAAUGCAUUGCAGUGUCCAGGUGUGCAGUUCCUCAGUUUCCCAAUUCAUUUGUUGAAAUCUCCACGGUGGGAGAUGAGGUAGAAAGAUAGGAACUGCAGAAAAAGCCUUAGGUAGAUAGUACAUUUGAGCCUUGAACGAGAAGGGGACUAGGGGCCCCAGACCUCCCAGCAUACAGGAAAAUCCGGAUAUAACUUACAGUCAGCCCUCCAUAUACUUCAUUCCUCCAGAUCUACGGUUCCUCUGUAUCUGUGAUUCCACAUCUGCAGAUUCAACCAACCAUAGAUCAAGUAGCACUGUCGUAUUUACUAUUGAAAACUAUCCACAUAUAAGCGGACUUGCACAGUUCAAAUCCUUGUUGUUCAAGGGUCAACUGUACACAAUGGCCAUAGCAUCCUUGCAGCUAGCAUACAUUUAGAGAACUACUUGAGAUGGCAAAGACUCGCCAAGCAGGCGUGGGAUGCAAGAGUUGGUAGAGGCAGGGGUGGGAGGAAGAAGUACAAAACGAUGUUAGCCAGAGCCAUGCCAGGCUGAAAUCUGGCUUCUAGCCACUCAUAGGUGGGAGACUUGACUAAUUCUAAGUGAGGAAGGAUUGGUGGUUAGGCAAGAGAACAUCUUUGUGAUUUACAUAUUGCCAUUAGUCAUUCACGUGUGUACACUCACAUUUUGUUCAAACACAGUCAUAUUUUUGUUCCUCUUGAUUCCUUAGUUACCAUAGUGCACGAUCACUGAGCUCUACUCGGGUAUGGGGUAACUUGACAACUGAACUUGGGAGACCUAACCAGUCACGCAUCAAAGUCUUGGAACAUUGUAACUGGAUUGAAUUGCCAGCCACCAGUUAGUUCAGUCCAAUCUAGCAAGUGUUUAUUGGGCUUGUUCAUUGUUUUGGGUACUUGGCUGUGUGGUAACCACCUUCCAAGAUGGCUCCCAAUGGUCCCUAUCGCCUGGCAUUUAUGCCCUGUGUCAUAUGCUCCCAGGAUUUGUUUGUGUGACCAGUGGAACACAGCAGAUGUGAUGGCAUGUCCCUCCUGAGAUCAGAUUAUAAAAGACACUGCAGCUUCUGUCUUGGUCACUCUUACUCUCUCUUGGGAGGAGCCAUGUUGUGAGCAGCCUUGUAGAGAGAACCACAUGGAAAGAGACCGGUGCCUCCUGGCAAUGGACACAUGAGUGGAGUUGGAAGCAGACCUUGCAGCUCCAGUCAAGUUUCCAAAGGCUGCAACUCUGGCUGACAGCAUGAUUAACAACCUCAUGAGAGAUCCUGAGCCAGAAAAGCUGCACCCAAAUUCUAAACCCUCAUAAAACGCAGCCAGUUAUUCUACUAGCAAAAUGGGUUUAUUCAGGAACAGUAAAAAAUUGCAAUUCAGGACACGCAAUCUAUGGCAAAUCACAGGCAGAUUCGGAGAACACAAGAGAGGACCUUUUUGUUUUAUAGAGGAGAAGGGGGACGGGCUGUUGUAAACAAGAGUCCAUUGGAGGAAACUGAGAGUUUGAAGUAUAGUGGAGUUUCAUUGGCUGAGUUGUGACAGUCUCUCAUUGGCUGGGCUGUUGCCAGGCAAGGAGAAAUUCUUCCUUCCUCCUACUGGGUAGUAAUGUAACUUUCUUCCUGUUGUAACUGCAAAGGUACAUGUCUUCCAGUUGGGUCUGCAAUUGAUUUACAGUGGUACAGCAUGAGAGCUCCCCCUUCUGGACCUCCUCAAAUUUUUUUUUUGCGUGGUGUGCUGAGUUGGGUCUUCGUUGCUGUGCGCGGGCUUUUCUCCAGUUGCGGCGAGCAGGGGCUACUCUUCGCUGCGGAGCGCGGGCUUCUCACUGCGGUGGCUUCUCUUGUUGCGGAGCACGGGCCUAGGCGCGUGGGCUUCAGUAGUCGCGUUACGUGGGUUCUAGAGCGCAGGCUCAGUAGUUGUGGUGCACGGGCUUAGUUGCUCUGCGGCAUGUGGGAUCUUCCGGGACCGGGGCUCGAACCCUGCAUUGGCAGGAGGAUUCUUAACCACUGCGCCACCAGGGAAGUCCCUGGACCUCCUCAUUUUCAAUGAGGUUUCUAUUUAUAGGCAAACCUCAUUUCAUUGUGCUUCACUUUAUUUUGCUUUGCACAUAUUGUGUUUUUUACAAGUUGAAGGUUUGUGGCAACGCUGAGUUGAAUAAGUCUAUCAGUGCCAUUUUUCCAACAUUUGCUCACUUCCUGUCUCUGUGUCACAUUUUGGCAAUUCUCAAACUAUUUCAAACUUUUUCAUUAUUAUCGUAUUUAUUAUGGUGAUCUGUGAUUAGUGAUCUUUGGUCUUUGAUGUCACUACUGUGACUCGCUGAAGGCUCAGAUGAUAGUUAAUAGUGAGCAUUUUUUAGCAAUAAAGUCUUUUUAAAUUAAGGUAUGUACAUUGUUCUUUCAGACGUGAUGCUAUUGCGCACUUAGUAGACUACAGUAUAAUGUAAACAUAACUUUUAUAUGAACUGGGAAACCGAAAAUUUUGUGUGACUCACUUUAUUUCAAUAUUUGCUUUACUGUGAUAGUCUGCAACCAAACCCACAAUAUCUCUGGGGUAUGCCUAUAUUAAUUUUCACAGAAAUAACUGUUCAUUGUUUUUGACAUUACGAUUUGAAGCAAUUUGUUAUGCUCUUGAAAAUUUUACAUUUGGUUACCCAGACAUUGGUCAUUCAACUGUUUUCUGAACAGAUGAUGUCUCCAAUUUGAACGUUAUCUGGUAAACAAGAUGUGCAAUGACCAAAUAUAUAUUUUUAUGCAGAAAACGUUUCUGAGAUAUAUUGAGUGAAAAAAAUCAGGUUGUAUAGUACGAUCCUGUUUAUUACAAGCCUAUUUAAAAAAUAAAUUUAAGACUCUAUUUCUAUUAUAUAGAUAAUAAGUGCUCAAUGUAGAAAAUUAGAAAAUACACAUAAGCAGACAUAAUUAAUAGAUAAUCAAGUUGAACCAUUAUCUUGCUAUUCAACGAUAAGAAUUAUUAACAAGUCAGUAUAUCAGGAGACAGUAUAGUAUAGUGAAAUUAACACUGGCUUAGAUACAGGUUGACCUAAAUAUGUGUCCCAAGUUGACCAGCUCCCAGAAAUUAUUUUACCUUUUGGUGCCUCAGAUUCCCCAUCUGUAAAAUGGAGAUAACAAUAGCACUUUCUUCAUAGGCUUUUUGUGAGGAUUAUAAAGAAUAAUGCAUAUAAAGUGCUCUGGGAGUCGUUUUCACUAUUAUCCUUCCAGAUCUUUUGAUAUGCAUAUAUACAUUUAAUAUAAAAUCAGAUUGUACUAUACAUAUUGAUUUGUAACCUGUUUGUCCACUUAAUAAUAUAUGACAAAUAUCUUUUUAGUUAUCCCAUGUUCAUGGAUUAGAAGAAUUAACAUUGUUAAAAUGUCCAUUCUACCCAAAGCAAUCUACAAAUCAAUGCAAUUCCUAUCAAAAUUCCAAUGGCAUUUUUCACAGAAAUAGAAAAAACAAUCCUAAAAUUCAUAUGGAACCAGAAAAGACCCCAAAUAGCCAAAACAAUUUUAAACAAGGAGAACAAAGGUGUAGGCAUCAUACAUCCUGAUUUCAAUAUACAUUACAAAGCUACAGUAAUCAAAACAUUAUGGUACUAGCAUAAAAACAUAGCUAUAGACCAAUGAAACAGAAUAGAGAGCCCAGAAAUAAAAACAUGAAUACAUGGUCAACUGAUCUUCAACAAAGGUGCCAAGAACACACAAAAUGGAAAGGAUAGUCUCUCAAUAAAUGGUGCUUGGAAAAUUGGAUAUCUGCAUGCAGAAGAAUGAAGUUGGACCCUUAUCCCACACCCACCCCACCCCAUUUUUGCCUUAUCUCUCUAGCCCACUUUUUUUCUGGUCUCUGGUCAGAAGAGCAACCUGUCUGUAACAUCAAUGCCUCACAGUGGAUCUAGGCUGUCAUACACCACUGCCCACAGCUUUGCUGGUGCUGGUUCAGCCAAGAAGGGUUCUAACUCUAGAGUGAGCUGGACCACAAAAUCCCCAGAAGAAAAAGGAAGUUACGCCCUUGGAAGCAAGAAGAAACAGCAGCCACAGACAUGCAAGCUCCCCAGGUCUUCACAGGUGGGGUACAGCGGGGACUAGAAACAGAGAGAGAGGAAGAGGAUGCCAGUUUGGAGCCAAAUCACAAUCACGUCUCAGGCUUAAGCAUAUCCCUUUGCUUAUCUUCUUGCAAGUCCUUGGUCAGUUCUCAAGCCCAUUCCCCGGAGCAGCUAUUUCAAAGCACCAUCACUUCCCCA